RNAcentral lists this ribosomal RNA (1141 nucleotides) under uncultured Bacteroidota bacterium. RNAcentral's name for it is "bacterial SSU rRNA". It matches the Rfam family "Bacterial small subunit ribosomal RNA", at positions 8 to 1146 of the family's 1533-position model. Lineage: Bacteria; Pseudomonadati; Bacteroidota. The record is from RNAcentral.
AGAGUUUGAUCAUGGCUCAGGAUGAACGCUAGCGGCAGGCUUAAUACAUGCAAGUCGAACGGUAACAGGCCCAGCAAUGGGUGCUGACGAGUGGCGCACGGGUGCGUAACACGUAUGCAACUUACCCUUUACUGGGGAAUAACCUCGGGAAACCGAGGCUAAUACCCCAUGGUAUUAUUGAAUGGCAUCAUUUAAUAAUUAAAGAUUUAUUGGUAAAGGAUGGGCAUGCGUCCCAUUAGUUAGUUGGUGAGGUAACGGCUCACCAAGGCGAUGAUGGGUAGGGGUUCUGAGAGGAUUAUCCCCCACACUGGUACUGAGACACGGACCAGACUCCUACGGGAGGCAGCAGUAAGGAAUAUUGGGCAAUGGGCGAGAGCCUGACCCAGCCAUGCCGCGUGCAGGAAGACGGCCUUAUGGGUUGUAAACUGCUUUUUUAUGGGACUAACCUAUUCUACGUGUAGGAUACUGCAGGUACCAUACGAAUAAGCAUCGGCUAACUCCGUGCCAGCAGCCGCGGUAAUACGGAGGAUGCAAGCGUUAUCCGGAAUCAUUGGGUUUAAAGGGUGCGUAGGCGGACUAAUAAGUCAGUGGUGAAAUACCUGUGCUCAACAUGGGUGCUGCCAUUGAUACUGUUAGUCUCGAGCUUAAUUGAUGUUGGCGGAAUGUGUCAUGUAGCGGUGAAAUGCAUAGAUAUGACACAGAACACCGAUAGCGAAGGCAGCUGACAAAAUUAACACUGACGCUGAUGCACGAAAGCGUGGGGAUCAAACAGGAUUAGAUACCCUGGUAGUCCACGCCGUAAACGAUGAUAACUAGCUGUAGGCGAUACACUGUCUGUGGCUAAGCGAAAGCGAUAAGUUAUCCACCUGGGGAGUACGUCCGCAAGGAUGAAACUCAAAGGAAUUGACGGGGGCCCGCACAAGCGGAGGAGCAUGUGGUUUAAUUCGAUGAUACGCGAGGAACCUUACCUGGGCUUGAACGUAUGGUGCAUGAGGGUGAAAGCCUUCUUUCCCGCAAGGGACUUCAUACGAGGUGCUGCAUGGUUGUCGUCAGCUCGUGCCGUGAGGUGUUAGGUUAAGUCCUGCAACGAGCGCAACCCCUAUUUUUAGUUGCCAUCAGGUUAUGCUGGGCACUCUAGAGA